This is a long non-coding RNA of Oncorhynchus keta (chum salmon), 1931 nucleotides long. RefSeq lists it as uncharacterized. NCBI's taxonomy places the organism in Eukaryota, Metazoa, Chordata, Actinopteri, Salmoniformes, Salmonidae. The record is from RefSeq and is a predicted model, not a curated record. The transcript is spliced from 9 exons.
GUCAAAGAGGUAUUAAUAUCAUGGUCAAACACAAACAUAUCAAAGAGGUAUUCAUAUCAUGGUCAAACACAAACAUGUCAAAGAGGUAUUCAUAUCAUGGUCAAACACAAACAUGUCAAAGAGGUAUUCAUAUCAUGGUCAAACACAAACAUGUCAAAGAGGUAUUAAUAUCAUGGUCAAACACAAACAUAUCAAAGAGGUAUUAAUAUCAUGGUCAAACACAAACAUGUCAAAGAGGUAUUAAUAUCAUGGUCAAACACAAACAUGUCAAAGAGGUAUUAAUAUCAUGGUCAAACACAAACAUGUCAAAGAGGUAUUCAUAUCAUGGUCAAACACAAACAUGUCAAAGAGGUAUUCAUAUCAUGGUCAAACACAAACAUGUCAAAGAGGUAUUCAUAUCAUGGUCAAACACAAACAUAUCAAAGAGGUAUUAAUAUCAUGGUCAAACACAAACAUGUCAAAGAGGUAUUAAUAUCAUGGUCAAACACAAACAUGUCAAAGAGGUAUUAAUAUCAUGGUCAAACACAAACAUAUCAAAGAGGUAUUCAUAUCAUGGUCAAACACAAACAUAUCAAAGAGGUAUUAAUAUCAUGGUCAAACACAAACAUGUCAAAGAGGUAUUCAUAUCAUGGUCAAACACAAACAUAUCAAAGAGGUAUUAAUAUCAUGGUCAAACACAAACAUAUCAAAGAGGUAUUCAUAUCAUGGUCAAACACAAACAUAUCAAAGAGGUAUUAAUAUCAUGGUCAAACACAAACAUAUCAAAGAGGUAUUAAUAUCAUGGUCAAACACAAACAUGUCAAAGAGGUAUUAAUAUCAUGGUCAAACACAAACAUAUCAAAGAGGUAUUAAUAUCAUGGUCAAACACAAACAUAUCAAAGAGGUAUUAAUAUCAUGGUCAAACACAAACAUAUCAAAGAGGUAUUAAUAUCAUGGUCAAACACAAACAUAUCAAAGAGGUAUUAAUAUCAUGGUCAAACACAAACAUAUCAAAGAGGUAUUAAUAUCAUGGUCAAACACAAACAUAUCAAAGAGGUAUUAAUAUCAUGGUCAAACACAAACAUAUCAAAGAGGUAUUAAUAUCAUGGUCAAACACAAACAUGUCAAAGAGGUAUUCAUAUCAUGGUCAAACACAAACAUAUCAAAGAGGUAUUAAUAUCAUGGUCAAACACAAACAUAUCAAAGAGGUAUUAAUAUCAUGGUCAAACAUAAACAUAUCAAAGAGGUAUUCAUAUCAUGGUCAAACACAAACAUAUCAAAGAGGUAUUAAUAUCAUGGUCAAACACAAACAUAUCAAAGAGGUAUUAAUAUCAUGGUCAAACACAAACAUAUCAAAGAGGUAUUCAUAUCAUGGUCAAACACAAACAUAUCAAAGAGGUAUUAAUAUCAUGGUCAAACACAAACAUAUCAAAGAGGUAUUAAUAUCAUGGUCAAACACAAACAUAUCAAAGAGGUAUUAAUAUCAUGGUCAAACACAAACAUAUCAAAGAGGUAUUAAUAUCAUGGUCAAACACAAACAUAUCAAAGAGGUAUUAAUAUCAUGGUCAAACACAAACAUAUCAAAGAGGUAUUAAUAUCAUGGUCAAACACAAACAUAUCAAAGAGGUAUUAAUAUCAUGGUCAAACACAAACAUAUCAAAGAGGUAUUAAUAUCAUGGUCAAACACAAACAUGUCAAAGAGGUAUUAAUAUCAUGGUCAAACACAAACAUAUCAAAGAGGUAUUAAUAUCAUGGUCAAACACAAACAUAUCAAAGAGGUAUUAAUAUCAUGGUCAAACACAAACAUGUCAAAGAGGUAUUAAUAUCAUGGUCAAACACAAACAUGUCAAAGAGGUAUUAAUAUCAUGGUCAAACACAAACAUAUCAAAGAGGUAUUCAUAUCAUGGUCAAACACAAACAUAUCAAAGAGGUAUUAAUAUCAUGGUCAAACA